GUGAAUUCCUUAAUCAAAGGACUCAAAGUGAGUGCAAGGUACUGCUCCGAUUAUCAAACACACAGUGCUGACCAGAAAGGAUCUUUUAUUCUAUUUAGGUAUUUUUAGAUCUGAGCUGUGGCACCUGUUCAAGCUGCAGUCUGGUUGUUUACUUUCUUUAUCUCAUAGUGUCACAUACAGUAGCAUGUUUGAAGAAACACUGAGGUGACUGGAAGGUUCUCCCACAGGGACAAACACUCUAAUGUGAACAUACAUUAUUCACUAGGUUAUAAGCAAGGGAAAUCAAUUACAGCAGAGAGAAAGAAAUGCAGCAGCAGUAUUUUGCAGUGAGAAAACAGAGGAGUACUGAAAGUCACGAGGUGGAUAAACUUAUCAUCUGUUGCUAUUACAGAAUUGACCAGCAGCUAAACAAGUUUCAAGGCCUCUUUAAAGUUGAUCUGUACACACAGUUAGUAGGAAGACAAUACCUGACUUAAAGAGCUUGCAAUCUAAUGAAAGGUUUAUUAUGAGAAAAUCUCUGCAAGAGGAUGAAAAACCACAAAUGGAUACACAGGGGCAAGUAGAGACAACUUGUCUGCUCAAUUAGAUGUUGAUUCAAGGUUCUCAGAUCAGCUCUGAGUAAGACAAUGCUGGCAGGGGGGCCACACUUGCUUGUGGCCAAGUAUCAUUCCGGAAUGAUGAAACAGGUUUCUAAAAACGAGGUCAAAAUGGGAAUGGACUUAACAAACUCAUUUCAAGAGCCAAGCAAGUGGUCGGUGGUUUCAGCGAAAUGUUUUAAACAUGAUAUAUCAUCAAGGAUCCUACCAUUGUUUCUAUCACAGUUCUACAGAUUGGAGAAUAAAAAUGUGAGAAGAGUUAGACUGAUUUUUUCACAAUGGACAGUGAAUGUAUGUAUGUUUUUCUAUUACCUUUUUGAAAAUCAGUGCAUCAUCUAAUUGAAGAGAUUUACCAAUUUAUAGCCUGAGUAAAUUUAGUCCCAGUUUAAUGCUGCAGUAAACAUAAUUCUUCCAACAAAUUUGUGGUAAUGCUAGUUCUCUUAAUGUGAAAAAGUCAAGUUGAAUUCUGUCUGAGGGGAUCUGAGCUGUGUUCUUGAGCAAGGAGAAUACAUGUGGGAGGAUUUUCAGUUUCUGAUGUUGAAUGACUUUCUCAUUUGAGGGACUAGUUUGAUCCAGUCAGAAAGAAGGGUAGCCAGCAGGAGGAUAAGGCCAUAAGUGAGAAGAGGGAAGCACUCAUCAAGAGAAGGAGAGAAGGAGAAUAGGUUCAAAUUCCUACUCCAAUAAGUUGUAAAUAAAAAUGAA
Molecule: long non-coding RNA, 1298 nt
Filed under: Anser brachyrhynchus (Pink-footed goose)
Lineage: Eukaryota; Metazoa; Chordata; Aves; Anseriformes; Anatidae
Description: lncRNA (ENSABRG00000018334.1)
Source: RNAcentral